Molecule: long non-coding RNA, 505 nt
Organism: Sipha flava (yellow sugarcane aphid)
Lineage: Eukaryota; Metazoa; Arthropoda; Insecta; Hemiptera; Aphididae
Exons: 3
Source: RefSeq, a predicted model, not a curated record
UUAACACCCGUGUUUUGAAAUUCCUCGACUUUGUCCGUAGACGCACGGAACUCGUGCAUAAAAUGUAAUACAUUUACAUUACGUUCAAAUGUAAUAACGUAAUGUCAUAAUGCGUACCUAUGUGCGCGGUUACGGGUCUACGGAAUUCAAUUCGACGCGAUUUAAUAGUAAUAACGAUGACGGUACGCGAAGCGACGUGUUUAUCGAUCCGGCAACAAACGUAUUUAAAUCGACGGCAUGCGUCGGUGCGUCCGUCAAGUGCAAAACAUAACGUAAUGCGGCGAGUGCGGUGUGUGCACAAGUCUAAGUACGGGUCGCGACGGUCUGAUUUUGUUAUGAUACAGCUUUAAUUGCUGCGUCUUGUAAUAUAUGGAGCGCAACCGAAAGAAACGACGAACUCGGCCAAAAAGACGCUAUUCCUUGUUCCACGCUUUAACACGAGGGGCAUCAGGCGGUGGAUGAUUAGGGUUCAACCACCAACCCUCCUCCUCUGAAAUCGUAAGAA